This is a long non-coding RNA of Xiphophorus hellerii (green swordtail), 686 nucleotides long. RefSeq lists it as uncharacterized. The record is from RefSeq and is a predicted model, not a curated record. NCBI's taxonomy places the organism in Eukaryota, Metazoa, Chordata, Actinopteri, Cyprinodontiformes, Poeciliidae. The transcript has 3 exons.
AAAAUUUGUGCAUAGUUGAAGAGCAGCCGAUGGUCUUCUGGGCAGAUUUUACGAUUCUCUGGAGAGUCUUCCUCUGUGCUGCUGUGCAGCUGGAGAACCACACACAGAGACAAUAGCAGAUGAUGCUUUCAAUAGAACAUCGUUAGAAGGACACCAGUAGUUUUUGAGAAAUACUGAUCCUCCUCAGGACUCUCAGAAAAUAGUCUCUGCUGGGCCUUCUUUGCAAGUUCUGCUGUGUUUACAUCCCAGGCCAGGUUAUCCAUGAGGUGAACUUCCAGGAAACGGAAGUUUGACAACCUCUCCACCGGCUCUCUGCAAAUUUUUAGUGGUUGAAUGUCUCUUUUAAUUCUCCUAAAAUCCACUAUGAUCUCCUUGGUCUUGGCUGUGUUUCGGAUCAGGUUGUUGUCUGUACACCAUGCUGUCAGUCGCUUCACUCGUUCCUAUAGACACACUCAGGGGCGCAACUACAUACUUUCUGAGGUGUAUGCGAACAUAUCACCGGCGCUCCCCUGUCUCCCCAGGUUUAAUAUGUCUAUAUAGCUCUCCCUUAUUCAUGCACUUAAAAAAUACAGUAAUUAAAUUAAAACCAUGAUGGUAUUUAGGUUUGUAUUGCCUCCCUAAUGUUAUUAUUCUGUCUGAUGUGUGAAUAAAUUACAGACUAUUAAAAAAGAAUAAAAAAAGGCUAA